RNAcentral lists this ribosomal RNA (444 nucleotides) under uncultured bacterium. Its description in RNAcentral is "SSU rRNA". It matches the Rfam family "Bacterial small subunit ribosomal RNA", at positions 26 to 518 of the family's 1533-position model. The record is from RNAcentral.
AGAACGAACGCUGGCGGCACGCCUAACACAUGCAAGUCGAGCGCCCAGCAAUGGGAGCGGCGGACGGGUGAGUAACACGUGGGAAUAUGCCUUUCGGUACGGAACAACUCAGGGAAACUUGAGCUAAUGCCGUAUACGCCCUUACGGGGAAAGAUUUAUCGCCGAAAGAUUAGCCCGCGUCUGAUUAGCUAGUUGGUGAGGUAAUGGCUCACCAAGGCUUCGAUCAGUAGCUGGUUUGAGAGAACGACCAGCCACACUGGGACUGAGACACGGCCCAGACUCCUACGGGAGGCAGCAGUGGGGAAUCUUGGACAAUGGGGGAAACCCUGAUCCAGCGAUGCCGCGUGAGUGAUGAAGGCCUUCGGGUUGUAAAACUCUUUCGACGGGGACGAGUAAUGACGGUACCGUAGAAGAAGCUCCGGCUAACUUCGUGCCAGCAGCCGC